RNAcentral lists this long non-coding RNA (193 nucleotides) under Prolemur simus (greater bamboo lemur). RNAcentral's name for it is "Vax2os1 conserved region 3 (ENSPSMG00000021126.1)". It matches the Rfam family "Vax2os1 conserved region 3". Lineage: Eukaryota; Metazoa; Chordata; Mammalia; Primates; Lemuridae. The record is from RNAcentral.
GUUCUCUGCUAGAUCUCGCCGUGAUCGCCUUCCUUGCGCACUUUUGGUUAUUGAUCCUGCUGGAGGCUGUGCUUCCCUGGGGACGAAGGGAGUGGGGAGAUGAAUGAGUAGGCUAGGAAAAUGAUGGUGGAGAGGAGAGGUUAAUAAACUUUAGGAGAGGGUGUAGGCGUUCCUCAGUGGCCCAGAGCCGCCC